GAACAGUAACCAAUCACUGCAGUCUGAAUGCUUCUCUUUGGUCAUGUGACCAUUUGAUCUCUGAUCAGUGUGUUCUUCAGUUUCAGGCCUGUUUCUGCUGACUGCUGCAGGUGUGUGUGUGCUGCUGCUGUCUGCUCUGACCGUUUCUACAGACUCCCAGCAUGCCCCAGGGGUGGAGGUGUUUGAGAGGGCGGAGUCUGUCCUGCUGCCCUGUCAGGUACCAGCUGAUGUUUCCAGGAGUGCCACAUCAGCAGUGUGGGACCGUGAUGAGUUCAAGGUCCCAACAGUCCACGUACGUCUGCAGAGCGGAGUAGAUCUUAAAGAUCAGAACCAUCGUUACUUCAGUCGAACAUCGAUGAGAGUCGACGCUCUGCAGACUGGAGACCUCAGCCUCACUCUGAGAAACCCCACAGUCUCUGACAGUGGUAACUACACCUGCACCACCCGCA
Long non-coding RNA from Oreochromis aureus, 449 nucleotides. The record is from Ensembl. Lineage: Eukaryota; Metazoa; Chordata; Actinopteri; Cichliformes; Cichlidae.